ACUUAAAAGGAAAUUACUGCUGGAAAGGGAGGAGGAUCUGAAAGCAGGUAAAUGAUGUGGAAUGUUAAGUUCCAGAACAAAAGUAUGGAUGUAUCCCCAAAACUAAUCAUGACUUAUUUACUCCCUACAAGUUAAACAAUUUGAAAAUACAAACUAACUCAGAACAGUAAGAUUAAGGGGAGUUAAUAUUCAUAUUAAUGUUGGCAUGCCCAUUUUGCUUAUAAGAGUUGGCCAUGAACUUUAUCGGUUUUUUUGUAUGAAAGUCUGUGCUAUUUUAUUUUGGGUUAUUAAUUUUAUUACUAGUUUUACUGUGUAUUCAUUUAGCUUUAUUUAAUUUUUAGAUAAUCUAAUACUGUUAUACCCUUUUACAAUUUAGUUAUUAGUUUCAAAGCAGAAUGCUUUUAAUUCUUUGUGUGCUACAGGUAACUUUGAAGCAAUGUAUCACAUAGUUCCUGUUUAUUACCCACAGGUGGGUAAGCCAAGAUUAGUCUUUUUCUCUGAAAUACAGAGAUACCCUGUAAAUGGAAAUGCAUCUCCAGAAAGUUCCUGAGAAGAUUACACUAAAAUUAUUAAAGAUAUGGGUUCUCAAAGAACCAUUUUGAAAUUAGGAUACUCCCCUCCUUCCCAAAAAAGUGCAAUAGUGGUAAGCAACAUGGUUUUUUUAAGGCUAGGUGAGGUAGCUCAUGCCUAUAAUGUCAGCACUUUGGGAAACUAACGAAGGAGAGAGGAUUGCUUGAGGCCAGGAGUUUGAGGGCAGCCUCGGCAACACAGUGAGAUCUCAUCUCCAUAAGAAAAAAAAUAACCAGGUGUAAUAGCAUGUCUCUGUAGUUCCAGCUACUUGGGAGGCUAAGGUGGGAGGAUUACUUGAGCCUAGGAGGUUGAGGCUGCAGUGAGCUGCAAUUGUGCCACUGCACACCAGACUGAGCAACAGAGCAAGACCUUGUCUCAAAAAACAAAAACAUUUUUUAGUUAAAACAGACUAGUUUUACUUAAAACAAGCUAGUUUUUGUGACUUCUAGUCUCAACUCUGUCAAUGUUUUACUCUGUUAACAAGUUAUAUAAGACCUAAUUUAAAAGAAUUAUAUUAUUUUCCAUUUUUAAAUGCCUAUAUUUUGAAAGCUGAAUCUUCAUUAUCCAAACAAAUGUUAAAAGACAGUGGAACUCUUUUAAGAAUACGAUAAGCCCCAUUUUAUAGAUGGGAAAAUGAGGCUCGAAGAGGUACAAUCAGAAGGACCCAAGGUCACACAGUU
Molecule: long non-coding RNA, 1250 nt
Filed under: Callithrix jacchus (white-tufted-ear marmoset)
Lineage: Eukaryota; Metazoa; Chordata; Mammalia; Primates; Cebidae
Description: lncRNA (ENSCJAG00000074880.1)
Source: RNAcentral